CCUACGGGAGGCAGCAGUCGAGAAUCAUUCACAAUGGGGGAAACCCUGAUGGUGCGACGCCGCGUGGGGGAAUGAAGGUCUUCGGAUUGUAAACCCCCGUCAUGUGGGAGCAAAUUAAAAAGAUAGUACCACAAGAGGAAGAGACGGCUAACUCUGUGCCAGCAGCCGCGGUAAUACAGAGGUCUCAAGCGUUGUUCGGAAUCACUGGGCGUAAGGCGUGCGUAGGCUGUUUCGUAAGUCGUGUGUGAAAGGCGCGGGCUCAACCCGCGGACGGCACAUGAUACUGCGAGACUAGAGUAAUGGAGGGGGAACCGGAAUUCUCGGUGUAGCAGUGAAAUGCGUAGAUAUCGAGAGGAACACUCGUGGCGAAGGCGGGUUCCUGGACAUUAACUGACGCUGAGGCACGAAGGCCAGGGGAGCGAAAGGGAUUAGAUACCCCAGUAGUC
This 446-nucleotide ribosomal RNA is filed under the name uncultured bacterium. RNAcentral describes it as "partial 16S ribosomal RNA". It matches the Rfam family "Bacterial small subunit ribosomal RNA", at positions 338 to 795 of the family's 1533-position model. The record is from RNAcentral.